RNAcentral lists this long non-coding RNA (338 nucleotides) under Physcomitrium patens. RNAcentral describes it as "long non-coding RNA (PPAT_LNC002042)". Lineage: Eukaryota; Viridiplantae; Streptophyta; Bryopsida; Funariales; Funariaceae. The record is from RNAcentral.
UAGAAUUUGCUAGAAUUGAGAUGAAAGAAGAGUGUUCAAAGCCAUAUUUAUGGAGAACUCUUUCUAAAUAUGCUUGCUCAUGAAGAAAAAUCAGUCUUGAUUUACUAUUCCUUUCAAUUUGUAAUCGAAUAUAGAUAUUUAGGUUAUUAACUCAAGAUUCAAAGAGAUCAUUCAUAGUGUGUAGAACAUAAUUGAUAUGUCUUGUAUAAUAGUAGCAAUAUAAGCCAUUAUUGACAAAAAUAAGAAUGAUGAGUUAGUUUUCUAGUUUAGAAUGGUAUACACAUGAGUCGGCAAAAUUUUGCUUGAGUUUGUAAGUAACCAAAAACUUGUUAAUUCUA